AUUGAACGCUGGCGGCAUGCCUUACACAUGCAAGUCGAACGGCAGCACGGGUGCUUGCACCUGGUGGCGAGGGGCGAACGGGUGAGUAAUACAUCGGAACAUGUCCUGAAGUGGGGGAUAGCCCGGCGAAAGCCGGAUUAAUACCGCAUACGAUCUACGGCUGAAAGCGGGGGACGUGCAGGCCUCGCGCUAUAGGGGUGGCAGAUGUCGGAUUAGCUAGUUGGUGGGGGAAAGGCCUACCAAGGCGACGAUCAGUAGCUGGUCUGAGAGGACGACCAGCCACACUGGGACUGAGACACGGCCCAGACUCCUACGGGAGGCAGCAGUGGGGAAUUUUGGACAAUGGGCGAAAGCCUGAUCCAGCAAUGCCGCGUGUGUGAAGAAGGCCUUCGGGUUGUAAAGCCCUUUUGUCCGGAAAGAAAUCCUUCGCCCUAAUACGGUCGGGGGAUGACGGUACCGGAAGAAUAAGCACCGGCUAACUACGUG
RNAcentral lists this ribosomal RNA (486 nucleotides) under uncultured bacterium. Its description in RNAcentral is "partial 16S ribosomal RNA". It matches the Rfam family "Bacterial small subunit ribosomal RNA", at positions 29 to 507 of the family's 1533-position model. The record is from RNAcentral.